CGGCAGCCCGAGUGGCGAUCACUAUUAUUGGGUCUAAAGGGUCCGUAGCCGGUUUGAUCAGUCUUUUGGGAAAUCUGACAGCUUAACUGUUAGGCUUCCAAAGGAUACUGUCAGACUUGGGACCGGGAGAGGUAAGAGGUACUACAGGGGUAGGAGUGAAAUCUUGUAAUCCCUGUGGGACCACCAGUGGCGAAGGCGUCUUACCAGAACGGGUCCGACGGUGAGGGACGAAAGCUGGGGGCACGAACCGGAUUAGAUACCCGAGUAGUCC
This 271-nucleotide ribosomal RNA is filed under the name uncultured archaeon. Its description in RNAcentral is "partial 16S ribosomal RNA". It matches the Rfam family "Archaeal small subunit ribosomal RNA", at positions 477 to 747 of the family's 1478-position model. The record is from RNAcentral.